CCGCCGGCGACCGGCGCACGGGUGAGUAACACGUAUGCAACCUGGCCGUGACAGAUGGAUAACCGGGAGAAAUCCCGCCUAAUACAACAUAAUGCCGGGAGGGGACAUCCCCUGCCGGCCAAAGGGGGCGACCCCGGUCACGGAUGGGCAUGCGGCGCAUUAGGUAGUUGGUGGGGCAACGGCCCACCAAGCCGACGAUGCGUAGGGGUUCUGAGAGGAAGGUCCCCCACAUUGGAACUGAGACACGAUCCAAACUCCUACGGAAGGCAGCAG
Molecule: ribosomal RNA, 273 nt
Filed under: uncultured bacterium
Lineage: Bacteria
Description: partial 16S ribosomal RNA
Rfam family: Bacterial small subunit ribosomal RNA
Source: RNAcentral